GAUCAUCUAUUUGGCUUCUCAUCGUAGGAUCAACUCAUUGGCUUCUCGAUGCAUUAUGGGAUUAGUUGUUUGGCUUCUCAUCGUGGUAUCAAAUUUUGGGCUUCAUAAUGCUCUAUGGAAUCGUGGGAUCAACUAUUUGGUUUCUCGAUGCACUGUGGGAUCAGCUGUUUGGAUUCUCAUCAUGGGAUCAACUUUUGGGAUUCUUGAUGC
RNAcentral lists this long non-coding RNA (210 nucleotides) under Capsicum annuum. RNAcentral's name for it is "long non-coding RNA (CANN_LNC008222)". The record is from RNAcentral. Lineage: Eukaryota; Viridiplantae; Streptophyta; Magnoliopsida; Solanales; Solanaceae.